Molecule: ribosomal RNA, 630 nt
Filed under: Lactobacillus sp. AbxANB4
Lineage: Bacteria; Bacillati; Bacillota; Bacilli; Lactobacillales; Lactobacillaceae
Description: bacterial SSU rRNA
Rfam family: Bacterial small subunit ribosomal RNA
Source: RNAcentral
AGUCGAGCGAGCUUGCCUAGAUGAUUUUAGUGCUUGCACUAAAUGAAACUAGAUACAAGCGAGCGGCGGACGGGUGAGUAACACGUGGGUAACCUGCCCAAGAGACUGGGAUAACACCUGGAAACAGAUGCUAAUACCGGAUAACAAUACUAGACGCAUGUCUAGAGUUUGAAAGAUGGUUCUGCUAUCACUCUUGGAUGGACCUGCGGUGCAUUAGCUAGUUGGUAAGGUAACGGCUUACCAAGGCAAUGAUGCAUAGCCGAGUUGAGAGACUGAUCGGCCACAUUGGGACUGAGACACGGCCCAAACUCCUACGGGAGGCAGCAGUAGGGAAUCUUCCACAAUGGACGAAAGUCUGAUGGAGCAACGCCGCGUGAGUGAAGAAGGGUUUCGGCUCGUAAAGCUCUGUUGGUAGUGAAGAAAGAUAGAGGUAGUAACUGGCCUUUAUUUGACGGUAAUUACUUAGAAAGUCACGGCUAACUACGUGCCAGCAGCCGCGGUAAUACGUAGGUGGCAAGCGUUGUCCGGAUUUAUUGGGCGUAAAGCGAGUGCAGGCGGUUCAAUAAGUCUGAUGUGAAAGCCUUCGGCUCAACCGGAGAAUUGCAUCAGAAACUGUUGAACUUGAGUGCA